AAAAAAAUCUUUGCAUUUUUGCUUGAGCAGUUCUUGGACGGCUGUGAGGUGUAAGGACGACCCUGGAAGUAUAGCAUUUUCAAUGGCGUUUACACGUUUAUAACUCCAAAUUUUUACAGAUAAGACUACCAAUAUUUCCCCUUGGAUGUGGCCAGUUACUGCAAGAUGUGGAAAUGGAUAAGUUUGGAAUCUACCAAACCUGGGAGUUAAAAUGCCCCAAACUUUGCUUUAGACGUUGAUCCUCGACACUGUACCUAUGUCUGGGUAGGAUUACAUAGCAUCAAGUUCCCGUCGCUGGACAAAUGUUGGCGCCCAGGAACAUCAUAACACCAGAGAAUGGCGAGUCCUAGGCAGCUUCCUUCUGCUGUAGAGGGACCAGUUGGCAAGACGGGAUGUGGCGAGUCGCAGGCAGUUCUUCCGUCUGCUGUAGAGUGAGCAGAAGACAGGAUAUAACCUCAGCCAGCUCUUCCUUCUGCUGUAUAGUGAGCAGUGACAGAAGACGGGAUAUAACCCCAAACGGCAAAAGGUUUGAUGGACCCCAGCCAGCCAGCUCUUCCUUCUGCUGUAGUGACCAGUCGAUAAAAAAGCAGGAUAUAUCCUAACCCCAAACGGUUAAGGAUAAUUUGAGGGACCCCAACCAGAGGGGAUUUCAAGCAGUUUCCACCUGCGACACUGUUACAAGUCCACAGAUAUACCUCAGGAACGGCGAGGAGCAGGCUGCUUCUGUUGUAGAGUAACCAGUCGAAUGGAUAUGCUGCCAAAGUUCAAAGGAGACGUGUCCCUAAUAUUACUGCCUCGAAACUAUGAACUGCGAGAAGCAGGGUUGCUCAUGUUGAAGUGACCAGUCGAAUGGAUAUACUUCCCAUAUUCAAAGGAUACAUGUGGGACCCUAUGAUAUCUGGGAAAAUGAACUGGGAAAAAAAAAAAAAAGUUUUAAAAGUUAGCACUGGCUGCUUUGUGGUUUCCUUUAAACGGAAUGGUUAGCAAUGUAUGUAUUUAAAAUAGUUUAUUUUCUUUAGACGUCACUCUAUAAGUCAUUAACAUUGAAAUUAGUUAGUUCAAAACUGGGAAAGAAUGGGAUAAGAAGCAAAUUUUGCAGAACAACUACGUCCCAUGCCAAUCACCGCCCAAAAAAAAUUGUGCGGAAUCCAGAAAUUUUUUUUAAAUACAGCCCUGAAUUACCAGUAAUUCAAAGUGGGGACAAUAAAUAUCUUGAGAAUCUUCUUCGCAUUGAUCAAUCCCAAUGGUUUCUUCUUCGCGUUGAUCAAUCCCAAUGGUUUCUUCUUCGCGUUGAUCAAACCCAAAGGUUCUUCGCAUUGAUCAAACAUAGGUUCUUCCCGUUGAUCAAUCCAAAAGGUUUCUUCUUCGCUUUGAUCAAUCCCAAUGGUUUUUUCUUCGUGUUGAUCAAUCAUAAUGGUUUCUUCUUCGCAUUGAUCAAUCCCAAAGUUUCUUCGCAUUGAUCAAACCCAAAGGUUCUUCGCAUUGAUCAAACC
Molecule: long non-coding RNA, 1493 nt
Organism: Macrobrachium nipponense
Lineage: Eukaryota; Metazoa; Arthropoda; Malacostraca; Decapoda; Palaemonidae
Exons: 4
Source: RefSeq, a predicted model, not a curated record